RNAcentral lists this ribosomal RNA (506 nucleotides) under uncultured bacterium. RNAcentral's name for it is "bacterial SSU rRNA". It matches the Rfam family "Bacterial small subunit ribosomal RNA", at positions 35 to 507 of the family's 1533-position model. The record is from RNAcentral.
GCUGGCGGCGUGCCUAAUACAUAGCAAGUCGAGCGAGCGGAACCAACAGAUUUACUUCGGUAAUGACGUUGGGAAAGCGAGCGGCGGAUGGGUGAGUAACACGUGGGGAACCUGCCCCUAAGUCUGGGAUACCAUUUGGAAACAGGUGCUAAUACCGGAUAAUAAAGCAGAUCGCAUGAUCAGCUUUUGAAAGGCGGCGUAAGCUGUCGCUAAGGGAUGGCCCCGCGGUGCAUUAGCUAGUUGGUAAGGUAACGGCUUACCAAGGCGACGAUGCAUAGCCGAGUUGAGAGACUGAUCGGCCACAUUGGGACUGAGACACGGCCCAAACUCCUACGGGAGGCAGCAGUAGGGAAUCUUCCACAAUGGACGCAAGUCUGAUGGAGCAACGCCGCGUGAGUGAAGAAGGUUUUCGGAUCGUAAAGCUCUGUUGUUGGUGAAGAAGAAUAGAGGUAGUAACUGGCCUUUAUUUGACGGUAAUCAACCAGAAAGUCACGGCUAACUACGUG